RNAcentral lists this ribosomal RNA (301 nucleotides) under uncultured bacterium. Its description in RNAcentral is "partial 16S ribosomal RNA". It matches the Rfam family "Bacterial small subunit ribosomal RNA", at positions 509 to 807 of the family's 1533-position model. The record is from RNAcentral.
CAGUCGCCGCGGGAAUACAGAGGGUGCGAGCGUUAAUCGGAAUUACUGGGCGUAAAGCGUGCGCAGGCGGUUAUAUAAGACAGAUGUGAAAUCCCCGGGCUCAACCUGGGAACUGCAUUUGUGACUGUAUAGCUAGAGUACGGCAGAGGGGGAUGGAAUUCCGCGUGUAGCAGUGAAAUGCGUAGAUAUGCGGAGGAACACCGAUGGCGAAGGCAAUCCCCUGGGCCUGUACUGACGCUCAUGCACGAAAGCGUGGGGAGCAAACAGGAUUAGAGACCCCCGUAGUCCCUGUCUCUUAUAC